UACGUAGGGGGCAAGCGUUGUCCGGAAUUAUUGGGCGUAAAGAGCGCGUAGGCGGUCCGGUAAGUCGGCUGUGAAAGUCAAGGGCUCAACCCUUGAAAGCCGGCCGAUACUGUCGGACUAGAGUCCGGAAGAGGCGAGUGGAAUUCCCGGUGUAGCGGUGAAAUGCGCAGAUAUCGGGAGGAACACCAAUGGCGAAGGCAGCUCACUGGGCUAUCACUGACGCUGAGGCACGAAAGCGUGGGGAGCGAGCAGG
Molecule: ribosomal RNA, 253 nt
Filed under: uncultured bacterium
Lineage: Bacteria
Description: partial 16S ribosomal RNA
Rfam family: Bacterial small subunit ribosomal RNA
Source: RNAcentral